This 1346-nucleotide ribosomal RNA is filed under the name uncultured bacterium. RNAcentral's name for it is "partial 16S ribosomal RNA". It matches the Rfam family "Bacterial small subunit ribosomal RNA", at positions 28 to 1381 of the family's 1533-position model. The record is from RNAcentral.
GACGAACGCUGGCGGCGUGCUUAACACAUGCAAGUCGAACGGAAAGGCCCUGCUUUUGUGGGGUGCUCGAGUGGCGAACGGGUGAGUAACACGUGAGUAACCUGCCCUUGACUUUGGGAUAACUUCAGGAAACUGGGGCUAAUACCGGAUAGGAGCUCCUGCUGCACGGUGGGGGUUGGAAAGUUUCGGCGGUUGGGGAUGGACUCGCGGCUUAUCAGCUUGUUGGUGGGGUAGUGGCUUACCAAGGCUUUGACGGGUAGCCGGCCUGAGAGGGUGACCGGCCACAUUGGGACUGAGAUACGGCCCAGACUCCUACGGGAGGCAGCAGUGGGGAAUAUUGCACAAUGGGCGGAAGCCUGAUGCAGCAACGCCGCGUGCGGGAUGACGGCCUUCGGGUUGUAAACCGCUUUCGCCUGUGACGAAGCGUGAGUGACGGUAAUGGGUAAAGAAGCACCGGCUAACUACGUGCCAGCAGCCGCGGUGAUACGUAGGGUGCGAGCGUUGUCCGGAUUUAUUGGGCGUAAAGGGCUCGUAGGUGGUUGAUCGCGUCGGAAGUGUAAUCUUGGGGCUUAACCCUGAGCGUGCUUUCGAUACGGGUUGACUUGAGGAAGGUAGGGGAGAAUGGAGUUCCUGGUGGAGCGGUGGAAUGCGCAGAUAUCAGGAGGAACACCAGUGGCGAAGGCGGUUCUCUGGGCCUUUCCUGACGCUGAGGAGCGAAAGCGUGGGGAGCGAACAGGCUUAGAUACCCUGGUAGUCCACGCUGUAAACGGUGGGUACUAGGUGUGGGGUCCAUUCCACGGGUUCCGUGCCGUAGCUAACGCUUUAAGUACCCCGCCUGGGGAGUACGGCCGCAAGGCUAAAACUCAAAGGAAUUGACGGGGCCCCGCACAAGCGGCGGAGCAUGCGGAUUAAUUCGAUGCAACGCGUAGAACCUUACCUGGGUUUGACAUGGAUCGGGAGUGCUCAGAGAUGGGUGUGCCUCUUUUGGGGUCGGUUCACAGGUGGUGCAUGGCUGUCGUCAGCUCGUGUCGUGAGAUGUUGGGUUAAGUCCCGCAACGAGCGCAACCCUUGUUCACUGUUGCCAGCACGUUAUGGUGGGGACUCAGUGGAGACCGCCGGGGUCAACUCGGAGGAAGGUGGGGAUGACGUCAAGUCAUCAUGCCCCUUAUGUCCAGGGCUUCACGCAUGCUACAAUGGCUGGUACAGAGGGUGGCGAGCCUGUGAGGGUGAGCGAAUCUCGGAAAGCCGGUCUCAGUUCGGAUUGGGGUCUGCAACUCGACCUCAUGAAGUCGGAGUCGCUAGUAAUCGCAGAUCAGCAACGCUGCGGUGAAUACGUUCCCGGGGCU